Molecule: transfer RNA, 72 nt
Filed under: Phrynosoma platyrhinos (Desert horned lizard)
Lineage: Eukaryota; Metazoa; Chordata; Lepidosauria; Squamata; Phrynosomatidae
Description: tRNA-OTHER
Source: RNAcentral
GCCAGUGUAGUGUAGUGGUUUGAGUGCUGGAUUAUGACUCUGGAGACCAGGGUUUGAAUCCCCACCCAGCCU